CCCCCUUUAGAUUUGCUUGACUUGGAAGAAGUAGACUUGGGAGGAAACUUCUUUCUAAAGUUUCGACGGAACUUCUUUGUUAGAAGUGCUAGUUGCUUUUCAAAGUCCUCCAGGGUUUGCUCCGACUCUGAAUCUGAUGAAGUUGAAGUGACAUCUCCUUUUGUUGAUUUUAGAGCCAUCCCUGAAGCUUUAGAAAAAGACUUGGAAGAAGACAAAUUAGAAGGAAAAGUCAUUUCAUAAGUUUGAAGAGCACCUACUAAUUCUUCUACCUUGAGUUCAUCAGGAUGUUUGACCGUUUCAAUAGCCGCAACCUUAGGACGAAAUCGUUCGGGAAGGGUCCUCAAAAUUUUUCGAACAAUUUUGGAAUCGGGAAUUUUCUCGCCCAAGUUAGCAC
Molecule: long non-coding RNA, 394 nt
Filed under: Ananas comosus (pineapple)
Lineage: Eukaryota; Viridiplantae; Streptophyta; Magnoliopsida; Poales; Bromeliaceae
Description: long non-coding RNA (ACOM_LNC000763)
Source: RNAcentral